CGGAACGGGUGAGUAACGCGUGAGGAACCUGCCUCAAAGAGGGGGACAACAGUUGGAAACGACUGCUAAUACCGCAUAAGCCCACGGCUCGGCAUCGAGCAGAGGGAAAAGGAGCAAUCCGCUUUGAGAUGGCCUCGCGUCCGAUUAGCUAGUUGGUGAGGUAACGGCCCACCAAGGCAACGAUCGGUAGCCGGACUGAGAGGUUGAACGGCCACAUUGGGACUGAGACACGGCCCAG
This 238-nucleotide ribosomal RNA is filed under the name uncultured bacterium. RNAcentral's name for it is "partial 16S ribosomal RNA". It matches the Rfam family "Bacterial small subunit ribosomal RNA", at positions 100 to 334 of the family's 1533-position model. The record is from RNAcentral.